Humulus lupulus (European hop) is the source of this 836-nucleotide RNA transcript. It is a transcript of the gene named dehydrin Rab18-like, with no coding region annotated. NCBI's taxonomy places the organism in Eukaryota, Viridiplantae, Streptophyta, Magnoliopsida, Rosales, Cannabaceae. The record is from RefSeq and is a predicted model, not a curated record. The transcript is spliced from 3 exons.
CUCGAAACCAAAGCAUAAUCCACACAAAGCCAAUUUUCUCAGAUCCAUUUCUAUACUUUCUUGAAAAAUGUCGCAACUCCCAAUCAAACUUGGUGCUACUACGACACCUCAAGUCGACGAGUACGGUAACCCGAUUCAACACGGCAUUGCCAAAACUGGCCACGGAACCGGAGGGAAGCACGACAGUGCCCGCACUGGAGUUGGUUACGGCACUGGCGCCGGGACCUUCGAUACCGGUCCUGAUGCACAUCAGCAACCACACACUACGCAUCGCCGCUCUGGGAGCUCAGGCUCCAGUUCAUCUGAGGAUGAUGGGCAAGGAGGAAGAAGAAAGAAGGGACUGACACAGAAGAUAAAGGAGAAGCUGCCAGGUGGGCACCAUGAUCAGGGCAGUGCUCCGAGUUAUGGAAGUUCAACUGCAGCUACUAACACAGCUCCAGGGGGUGUUCUUCACCAGACUGAGAGCCAGGAGAAGAAAGGAAUGAUGGAUAAGAUCAAGGAAAAGCUGCCUGGAAAGGGGGCACCAUGAAUAGAAUUAUAGAAUAGACACACACAUAUAUAUAUGGUGGCCGGAGAUUCAUAUAUACAUCAUAUAUAUAUAUAUAUAUAAUAUAUAUAUAAGAAGGGUAUUUGAAGCGCCUGUAACUUCAGAGUUGGUGUGUGUCUCUGCUUGAGUUUAGAGUGUGUUGCAAUGUUGUAAUAAAUGAUCAAAGCGCGUGUCUUCAAUCUGUGUACUCAUACGUACUACUAUAAUAUAUGCAUAUAUAGAUAGUACGUAUAUAUAUAUGUACUCUUCUCUCUCUCCAGUAAUAUAUGUUGUGCUUUGAUUAUUGUUA